UUUAGAACACCACCAGUCACCACAUUCCUUAUUGUUCUUUUUAGUUUUGUUCACUUUCCGAGGACACACAUCGCAGUCUUCUUCAGUACCGAGUCACAUACUUUCCAUAUUUUUCAUAACAGUUCGAACUCUUUAUUUUACACUUCGAACUUUUCUGCGUGCACUGGAGUCUGAACUUCAGUUUCCAUUCCAAAUUUUACCUAAUUAUCAUCUCUACACUUGAUUUAUACCCUGCCUAACACCACUGGGGCUAUAUCAUUACCGUCUUAUCCCCAACAAUCACCCAACUAAUAUCAUCAAGGUUUCCCUCAAAUAUAAGCAAGAUGAGAGGCUUCACGAGUCCCAGGCUAGCGUUACUUCUUGCUACAAUAACAAUGAUUGUCUGGUCUGACAUGGAAUGCUAUAGGUGUAUCGACUUAGUUGUGGACAAGGAGAAUGUAACUGUACCAGAGAUAUCGCAGUGUGAGUUGUACAAGAGGUUACCAUGUGACAGGAUGACCCACCGCUGCUAUCAGUUUAUCUUCAACUUUACGCUGACAGAGAACGUUAGCCAGGUCGGCCUCUACUCCUACCACGACCCUUUUGUCAAGGUGAACUACUGGGACUGUUUUCCAUACGAGUUUGGUUGUGACGAAGUGCUACCACAAGUUCAGGGACUGACCAGCGAUCCCCGCGCCACCGAAGGACUCAGGUGCGACCAAUUUCCUAGGAGUGCUGAGGCCUUGUAUCGACCUAAUACAAUGAGUGGAGUGAGCCGAUUGCAGGGGAGUCUUGUGUUAGUUGUUGGGAUGGUUUUGCGAUUUCUGGGGGCGUGGUGAAUGAAGGUAAACAAACGAUAAAAGUUCGAACUUCGGAGCUUGACAUCGUGCUUUAUUGAGAUGGCCAAGAUGAUGUUAAAUUGUUUCUUUUUGAGAUGAGGAUCAAGACAUGGGUUCGUUUGAAGAAAAGACAAAUUUUGAUUUGAAAACAAGAUGUUAUGACAAGAUGGAGAUGAAAUGAACAAUUUAAGAGAUAUAACUUUAUCCUAAAUAUUGAAGACUUUUACACCUUGAACACGUGGGCUAACGUCUUAUUGAAAAGUCACUGGUUUGCUAUUUAAUUUAUGUUGUAUUCACUUUCUGACAUGUAAA
Molecule: long non-coding RNA, 1130 nt
Organism: Bolinopsis microptera
Lineage: Eukaryota; Metazoa; Ctenophora; Tentaculata; Lobata; Bolinopsidae
Exons: 3
Source: RefSeq, a predicted model, not a curated record